Pseudonaja textilis is the source of this 180-nucleotide non-coding RNA. The record is from RefSeq and is a predicted model, not a curated record. NCBI's taxonomy places the organism in Eukaryota, Metazoa, Chordata, Lepidosauria, Squamata, Elapidae.
UGAUGAUUCGACUCAGAUACAAACAGAUCCAAUAUUGGGUGACCAAAUCUGUUGGAAAUUUCUUGAAAAAGAAGCGGAUGCAAACUCCACUCUGCCUGAUCUAUUGUAGAUCUGCUUAGCCAAUCUGCCCUGACAUUUUGUGUCCCUGAAAUAUGUUCAGCUUUGAUUGAGAACAAAUUU